CACGUAGGGACCAAGCGUUGUCCGGAUUUAUUGGGCGUAAAGAGCUCGUAGGCGGUUCCGCAAGUCGGGUGUGAAAACUCUGGGCUUAACCCAGAGCCUGCAUCCGAUACUGCGGUGGCUAGAGUCCGGUAGGGGAGUGGGGAAUUCCUAGUGUAGCGGUGAAAUGCGCAGAUAUUAGGAGGAACACCGGUGGCGAAGGCGCCACUCUGGGCCGGUACUGACGCUGAGGAGCGAAAGCGUGGGUAGCAAACAGG
RNAcentral lists this ribosomal RNA (254 nucleotides) under uncultured bacterium. RNAcentral's name for it is "partial 16S ribosomal RNA". It matches the Rfam family "Bacterial small subunit ribosomal RNA", at positions 524 to 776 of the family's 1533-position model. The record is from RNAcentral.